Molecule: non-coding RNA, 73 nt
Organism: Trichonephila clavata
Lineage: Eukaryota; Metazoa; Arthropoda; Arachnida; Araneae; Nephilidae
Source: the annotation of a GenBank genome assembly
GUCCCUGAAACGCAAUGGAUAGUGCGUUGGACGAUCCAUCCAAAGGUCGUGGGCUCAAAUCCUACCGGGGAUG